RNAcentral lists this ribosomal RNA (636 nucleotides) under uncultured marine eukaryote. Its description in RNAcentral is "SSU rRNA". It matches the Rfam family "Eukaryotic small subunit ribosomal RNA", at positions 614 to 1258 of the family's 1831-position model. The record is from RNAcentral.
UGCAGUUAAAAAGCUCGUAGUUGGACUUCAGAGUGAGCUCAGACGGUCGGCCCAAGGGUCAGAACUGGUUGACUCUCUCUUGUUUGUGGAAGCCGCCCGGAGUUAACUCUUCGGAUGUGCUCUCCACAUCGUUUACCUUGAAAAAAUUAGAGUGUUCAAAGCAGGCGUUUGCUUGAAUAUAUUAGCAUGGAAUAAUGGAAUAGGACCCUGGUUCUAUUUUGUUGGUUUUGAGGACCAGAGUAAUGAUUAAUAGGGAUAGUUGGGGGCAUUCAUAUUUCAUUGUCAGAGGUGAAAUUCUUGGAUUUAUGAAAGAUGAACUUCUGCGAAAGCAUUUGCCAAGGAUGUUUUCAUUAAUCAAGAACGAAAGUUAGGGGAUCGAAGACGAUCAGAUACCGUCGUAGUCUUAACCAUAAACUAUGCCGACUGGGGAUUGGGCGUGGUUUGUUCAUUGACCCGCUCAGCACCUUACGAGAAAUCAAAGUCCUUGGGUUCCGGGGGGAGUAUGGUCGCAAGGCUGGAACUUAAAGGAAUUGACGGAGGGGCACCACCAGGAGUGGAGCCUGCGGCUUAAUUUGACUCAACACGGGAAAACUUACCAGGUCCAGACAUAGUAAGGAUUGACAGAUUGAGAGCUCU